GAUGAACGCUGGCGGCAGGCCUAACACAUGCAAGUCGAGCGAGAAAGGCCUUCGGGCUGAGUAGAGCGGCGGACGGGUGAGUAACGCGUAGGAAGCUACCCGGUAGCGGGGGAUAACUCGGGGAAACUCGAGCUAAUACCGCAUACGCCCUGAGGGGGAAAGCGGGGGACCAUAUGGCCUCGCACUAUCGGAUGCGCCUGCGUCGGAUUAGCUAGUUGGUAGGGUAAAGGCCUACCAAGGCGACGAUCCGUAGCUGGUCUGAGAGGAUGAUCAGCCACACUGGGACUGAGACACGGCCCAGACUCCUACGGGAGGCAGCAGUGGGGAAUAUUGGACAAUGGGGGCAACCCUGAUCCAGCCAUGCCGCGUGUGUGAAGAAGGCCUUCGGGUUGUAAAGCACUUUCAGCGGGGAGGAAAGGGCGCUGGUUAACACCUGGCGCAGUUGACGUUACCCGCAGAAGAAGCACCGGCUAACUCCGUG
RNAcentral lists this ribosomal RNA (481 nucleotides) under uncultured Gammaproteobacteria bacterium. RNAcentral describes it as "bacterial SSU rRNA". It matches the Rfam family "Bacterial small subunit ribosomal RNA", at positions 28 to 507 of the family's 1533-position model. Lineage: Bacteria; Pseudomonadati; Pseudomonadota; Gammaproteobacteria. The record is from RNAcentral.